GGUUGUCCUUCUUUGACGCAAACUUAUUCCUUCACAGACACAUUCAUUCGAGAGCAAUCUUGACCAAUGUCCAAGCGUGGUAGCAGAUCACAGGUGCCGCAUCUUGACUUGCAGAAAUUCAAAAAGGGAACGUGGAAUCUGUGCGUUGGAGCCUCAUACUAUUUAGCCGAUGAAUCCACCAAUACUUCAGGAUGACAAAAUAACUCGCAAGUCAUACAGAGCAUUGAUCUCCUAUAUAUCUGGACUACGUGGCGUAACUACGAGCCUGAUAUUGUCUAAGAGUCAACUAGAAAAUUAUUCCCAAUUCCUCCGCCCCGC
RNAcentral lists this small RNA (318 nucleotides) under Histoplasma capsulatum var. duboisii H88. Its description in RNAcentral is "Histoplasma capsulatum H88 hypothetical RNA". Lineage: Eukaryota; Fungi; Ascomycota; Eurotiomycetes; Onygenales; Ajellomycetaceae. The record is from RNAcentral.